UGUGUAAGAAAUAAGAAUAUGAAGAUGUAGAUGUUGAUUUUAGGUGCAUUUAGAGCUUGAAAUUGUUUGUUCAUGGUGGUUGAUAUAUUGAUGACAAUGGCAAUAUUGUAAAUAAAAUAAUAAGAUGAGGAUGAUUGAGUAAAACAACCAUCUUCGAGAAAAAAAAAUUAGAAAAAAAUAAUGUCAUUUAUGUGAAUAAUCCAAACUUUUGUGGUAAAUAUGGCAAAUGAAAGUUUCAAAAAAGUCAUGGAUUAGUUUUGUGUUUGACUUUGAGAUUUGAGCAAUUUUUACAAAAAACCCACAUAUUAAAGUUGCAUUCUGUUUUAUUCAGUUACACUAAAAGAAAUAGGAGUAAAGAUGAGUAAGAUAAAGUCUAAAUCUCUUUGUAAACUAAUCCUUUUUAGUGUACUCUUCCAAUUUAUAUGUACACAAUGCUCUAUAUAUACAAGUUUUAUUAUGUUAAAAUAAUUUACAUUAAAAUUAACCAAAAAU
This 492-nucleotide long non-coding RNA is filed under the name Brassica napus (rape). RNAcentral's name for it is "long non-coding RNA (BNAP_LNC014058)". Lineage: Eukaryota; Viridiplantae; Streptophyta; Magnoliopsida; Brassicales; Brassicaceae. The record is from RNAcentral.